UGCAUGUUUGUUGCCAUUUUAUUCUCUUCUCUUCUAAGUCCUUUUCUCUGUAGUGGGAAUGCAUGGCAAAGAAGUACCCCAAAACAAGAUCCAUGACAUGCCAGACUAAAUAUUCUAUGAGGUGACUACAUUGGCUGUACAUUAGGAAAGAUGAUGCUUUCUCUGUAGCAUGACCAAUUGCCCCUGUAUUUGAUGAUCUUUCUGUCUUGUGGAGCACCUGGUACUGUCACUACAAGACAUCACGCAGGAUUAAAGGAGAAGAACUCAUUGGAGGUAGCCUGUGCCUUUGGAUGUUUGACUUGCUUCCUGUCCUUCCCAGCAGUCAACAGGCUUGGUCCCACCAUGUUCAGAGCUCAAGGACUGUGGGAGAGGGUGACACAGACAACGGACUGAUCGAUCCAGGAGCUGGGCAUGGUGCUUACCAUGUUAUCAUGGUCUUAAUACGAGUUCACAGCAGUCUUGUUUCUGGUUAAGGUACUUGAAUAGAUAUUGUAUUUAAAAUAAUUAAUUAGA
This is a long non-coding RNA of Cygnus olor (mute swan), 513 nucleotides long. RefSeq lists it as uncharacterized. The record is from RefSeq and is a predicted model, not a curated record. The transcript has 3 exons. NCBI's taxonomy places the organism in Eukaryota, Metazoa, Chordata, Aves, Anseriformes, Anatidae.